Molecule: ribosomal RNA, 378 nt
Filed under: uncultured microorganism
Description: bacterial SSU rRNA
Rfam family: Archaeal small subunit ribosomal RNA
Source: RNAcentral
GUGCACCAGGCGCGAAUACUCCGCAAUGCCCGAAAGGGUGACGGGGGGAUUCCAAGUGCCUACGCUUAGCGUAGGCUGUUCAGGUGCCUAAAAAGCACCUGGAGGAAGGGCCGGGUAAGACGGGUGCCGAUCUGUGGCAGCAGCCAAGAUUUGGCUUGCUACUGCAAGGCAUAAGCCGCCGCGGUAAUACCCGCAGCCCGAGUGGUAGUCGCUUUUAUUGGGCCUAAAGCGUCCGUAGCCGGUCUGGUAAAUGCCUGGGUAAAUCGUGGGGCUUAACCUCACGAAUUCCGGGUAGACUGCCAGACUUGGGACCGGUUGAGGGAGAGGGUACUCCAGGGGUAGGGGUGAAAUCAGCAAGGUAAGCUGAUGUAACUUGCC